This 253-nucleotide ribosomal RNA is filed under the name uncultured bacterium. RNAcentral's name for it is "partial 16S ribosomal RNA". It matches the Rfam family "Bacterial small subunit ribosomal RNA", at positions 524 to 776 of the family's 1533-position model. The record is from RNAcentral.
UACGUAGGGGGCUAGCGUUGUCCGGAUUUAUUGGGCGUAAAGAGCGUGUAGGCGGCCAGAUAGGUCUGCUGUGAAAACUCGAGGCUCAACCUCGAGCUGUCGGCGGAAACCAUCCGGCUAGAGUCCGGAAGAGGAGAGUGGAAUUCCCGGUGUAGCGGUGAAAUGCGCAGAUAUCGGGAGGAACACCGGUGGCGAAGGCGGGUCUCUGGGCAGUAACUGACGCUGAGGAGCGAAAGCGUGGGGAGCGAACAGG